This 602-nucleotide ribosomal RNA is filed under the name Actinomycetota bacterium. RNAcentral describes it as "Actinobacteria bacterium partial 23S ribosomal RNA". It matches the Rfam family "Bacterial large subunit ribosomal RNA", at positions 1 to 559 of the family's 2925-position model. Lineage: Bacteria; Bacillati; Actinomycetota. The record is from RNAcentral.
UUCCAAGCUACAAAGAGCCAACGGUGAAUGCCUUGGCGCCAAUAACCGAAGAAGGACGUGGAUGACUGCGAAAAGUUACGGUGAGCCGUCUAUCAGGCUUUGACCCGUAAAUGUCCGAAUGAGGAAACUCUGCACCCGUCAUGGGGUGCAACUCUGAAGUGAAUACAUAGCUUCAGUGGAGGGAACCGGGAGAAUUGAAACAUCUCAGUACCCCGAGGAAUGAAAAGCAAACGCGACUCCCUUAGUAGCGGCGAGCGAAGAGGGAAGAGACUAAACCGUGCUGGCGCAAUAGCCUGAUGGCGUUGCCAGUACGGUGUCGUGGGACGACUAGACACUGCAUCAGAAGUGUCGCGAAGUUACAAAGUUGCUAGGUAGAAGAAUUGUCUGGGAAGACAAGCCACAGUGGGUAAGAGCCCCGUAUUCGAAACUUAUGCAGCCUUCGAGUCCAAUCCCAAGUAAUGCCGGAUCCGAGCAAUCUGGCAUGAAUCCGUGGGGACCACCCCAUAAGUCUAAGUAUUUAUUGGCGACCGAUAGUGAACCAGUACCGUGAGGGAAAGGUGAAAAGAACCCCGGGAGGGGAGUGAAAUAGUACCUGAAACCGU